Molecule: non-coding RNA, 297 nt
Organism: Vicia faba (fava bean)
Lineage: Eukaryota; Viridiplantae; Streptophyta; Magnoliopsida; Fabales; Fabaceae
Source: the annotation of a GenBank genome assembly
AUGUCAGAUUCCUAUGGCCGCAACAUAAUGUACAUGCAAUUCAUAGUCAUCAAGGUUUUAUCAUCACGAGGGCAGUUAGCAGAGGAUAAGAAGGGCACAAGAGAAAAUAUUUCCUUCACAAGUCCAUAUAAUUAUAUUAGGUGUUGUUGUGUCUUGCUAGUUGCAAUGGGUAAAGAGAAGGCACAGGUGAAUAUUGUUGUGGUUGGUCAUGUUGAUUCUGAUGAGAAGCCAACCAGCAACGAGGAAACCAGCAAGGUUGUUGUUGCUGUUGAGAACAAAGCUGAUGAGAAGAUAUGA